CUUCCUGCGCCGCGGAAAAGUAAGCCUCGCGACAAAGGGGCGGUCCCUGCCGCUGCAGCCAAGAGCCCCGCGGGCCUCUGGGCGCGUGCAGAGCGCCCCGCUCCGGGGUAGCUCGCGCCGGUCGAGGGCGCCCGAGGGGCCGCUCCUGAGCGCGGCUGGUCGGCUUGGCGAGCCGGGAUCAGGAAGAUGAUUGAGUUGUUUGGGCCAGGAAUCUUGUGGGAACAGAGCAAUGGGCUUCCCUAACCUGGUUUGGACAGAUAAAUGAGUUUCCAAUAUACGUUUGGAUAGAUAACAUGAGAAUCUAUAUAAAUGGUACGUUGCUGGAAAAAUGAACUUUUGAGCUCCUGAAGAAUUGGUAGGACGAGUGAAUGAAGAAAUGAAGGAACAAAUGGAUGAGAUCCAGGUUCCCUUUCCAAGGUCACCAUGUCUGCAGCUGAGACUGUGAUGUGGAUUGCGCAGUGGAGAAUGAAGCCCCUGUCUGCUCAAGCCCCGUUUCCCCCACCCAGAACUGUCUGCUGGC
Molecule: long non-coding RNA, 520 nt
Organism: Python bivittatus (Burmese python)
Lineage: Eukaryota; Metazoa; Chordata; Lepidosauria; Squamata; Pythonidae
Source: RefSeq, a predicted model, not a curated record